UUGGCGGGAGGCAUCGUUGACUCGCCGGGGCGAGAGAACGACCCCUACAUCGUCGACCUCGCCCGCUUCGCUGUCUCCCAGCACAACAAGGAGGCCAAUACCCAGCUGGAGUUGGAGAAGGUGGUGAAGGUCAAGGAGCAAGCUAUUGCUGGCAGGCUGUACUACAUUACAAUCCAGGUUGAUGAAGGCGGGGCGAAGAAGCUGUAUAAAGCCAAGGUGCUGGAGCAGCUGUGGCUGGAUGUCAAGAAGCUCCUAGAGUUCAAGCCGGCAGAGGGUGCCUAUCCCAACGUCUCCUAUUCCUAG
This 303-nucleotide ribosomal RNA is filed under the name Triticum aestivum (bread wheat). Its description in RNAcentral is "partial small subunit ribosomal RNA". Lineage: Eukaryota; Viridiplantae; Streptophyta; Magnoliopsida; Poales; Poaceae. The record is from RNAcentral.